GGUUAAGCUAGAAAGGGCGCACGGUGGAUGCCUUGGCACUAGGAGCCGAAGAAGGACGGGACGAACACCGAUAUGCCUCGGGGAGCUGUAAGUAAGCACUGAUCCGGGGAUUUCCGAAUGGGGGAACCCACCAUCCGUAAUGGGAUGGUAUCCAUAUCUGAAUACAUAGGGUAUGAGAAGGCAGACCCGGGGAACUGAAACAUCUAAGUACCCGGAGGAAGAGAAAGCAAAUGCGAUUUCCUGAGUAGCGGCGAGCGAAACGGAAACAGCCCAAACCAGAGGGCUUGCCCUCUGGGGUUGUAGGACACUCUACAUGGAGUUACAAAGGAACGAAGUAGGUGAAGCGGUCUGGAAAGGCCUGCCAAAGAAGGUAACAGCCCUGUAGCUGAAACUUCGUUCCCUCCUGAGUGGAUCCUGAGUACGGCGGGACACGUGAAACCCCGUCGGAAUCCGGGAGGACCAUCUCCCAAGGCUAAAUACUCCCUAGUGACCGAUAGUGAACCAGUACCGUGAGGGAAAGGGGAAAAGCACCCCGGAAGGGGAGUGAAAGAGAUCCUGAAACCGUGUGCCUACAAGUAGUCGGAGCCCAUUAACGGGUGACGGCGUGCCUUUUGUAGAAUGAACCGGCGAGUUACGAUCCCGUGCAAGGUUAAGUUGAAUAGACGGAGCCGCAGCGAAAGCGAGUCUGAAUAGGGCGACAUAGUACGUGGUCGUAGACCCGAAACCGUGUGAUCUACCCAUGUCCAGGGUGAAGUUCAGGUAACACUGAAUGGAGGCCCGAACCCACGCACGUUGAAAAGUGCGGGGAUGAGGUGUGGGUAGGGGUGAAAUGCCAAUCGAACACGGAGAUAGCUGGUUCUCCCCGAAAUAGCUUUAGGGCUAGCCUCGCGGCAAGAUUCCUGGAGGUGGAGAUAGCUGGUUCUCCCCGAAAUAGCUUUAGGGCUAGCCUCGCGGCAAGAUUCCUGGAGGUAGAGCACUGAUUGGACUAGGGGCCCCCACAGGGUUACCGAAUUCAGUCAAACUCCGAAUGCCAGAGAAUUAUCCGCGGGAGUCAGACUGCGAGUGAUAAGAUCCGUAGUCAAAAGGGAAACAGCCCAGACCAUCAGCUAAGGUCCCAAAGUAUACGUUAAGUGGCAAAGGAUGUGGAGUUGCCCAGACAACCAGGAUGUUGGCUUAGAAGCAGCCACCAUUUAAAGAGUGCGUAAUAGCUCACUGGUCGAGUGACUCUGCGCCGAAAAUGUAACGGGGCUAAACGUAUCACCGAAGCUAUGGCUUGUACCUUUAGGUACAGGGGUAGGGGAGCGUUCGAAGUGCAGUGAAGUCAGACCGGAAGGACUGGUGGAGCGCUUUGAAGUGAGAAUGCCGGUAUGAGUAGCGAAAGACAAGUGAGAAUCUUGUCCAUCGAAAGCCUAAGGUUUCCUGAGGAAGGCUCGUCCGCUCAGGGUUAGUCGGGGCCUAAGCCGAGGCUGAAAAGCGUAGGCGAUGGAUAACAGGUUGAUAUUCCUGUACCACCUCCUUUCCGUUUGAACAAUGGGGGGACGCAGUAAGGUAGGGUGAGCGCACUGAUGGAAUAGUGCGUCUAAGCAGUUAGGCUGUUGGAUAGGCAAAUCCGUCCAACGUGAAGGCUGAGCUGUGAUGGCGAGGGAAAUUUUAGUACCGAAGUCCCUGAUCCUACACUGCCAAGAAAAGCCUCUAGUGAGGAAAGAGGUGCCCGUACCGCAAACCGACACAGGUAGGCGAGGAGAGAAUCCUAAGAUGAUCGGGAGAACUCUCGUUAAGGAACUCGGCAAAAUGACCCCGUAACUUCGGGAGAAGGGGUGCUCUGAUAGGGUUUAUCGCCCGAGAGAGCCGCAGUGAAUAGAUCCAAGCGACUGUUUAGCAAAAACACAGGUCUCUGCGAAACCGCAAGGUGAAGUAUAGGGGCUGACACCUGCCCGGUGCUGGAAGGUUAAGAGGAGGGGUUAUCCCUUACGGGAGAAGCUCUGAAUUGAAGCCCCAGUAAACGGCGGCCGUAACUAUAACGGUCCUAAGGUAGCGAAAUUCCUUGUCGGGUAAGUUCCGACCCGCACGAAAGGUGUAACGACUUGGAUACUGUCUCAACGAGAGACCCGGUGAAAUUAUAGUACCUGUGAAGAUGCAGGUUACCCGCGACAGGACGGAAAGACCCCAUGGAGCUUUACUGCAGCUUGAUAUUGGAUUUUGGUACAGCUUGUACAGGAUAGGUAGGAGCCUGAGAAGCCGGAGCGCCAGCUUCGGUGGAGGCGUCGGUGGGAUACUACCCUGGCUGUAUUGAAAUUCUAACCUUGAACCGUGAUCCGGUUCGGAGACAGUGUCAGGCGGGCAGUUUGACUGGGGCGGUCGCCUCCUAAACAGUAACGGAGGCGCCCAAAGGUUCCCUCAGAAUGGUUGGAAAUCAUUCGCAGAGUGUAAAGGCACAAGGGAGCUUGACUGCGAGACCUACAAGUCGAGCAGGGACGAAAGUCGGGCUUAGUGAUCCGGUGGUUCCGCAUGGAAGGGCCAUCGCUCAACGGAUAAAAGCUACCCUGGGGAUAACAGGCUUAUCUCCCCCAAGAGUCCACAUCGACGGGGAGGUUUGGCACCUCGAUGUCGGCUCAUCGCAUCCUGGGGCUGAAGUAGGUCCCAAGGGUUGGGCUGUUCGCCCAUUAAAGCGGUACGCGAGCUGGGUUCAGAACGUCGUGAGACAGUUCGGUCCCUAUCCGUCGCGGGCGCAGGAAAUUUGAGAGGAGCUGUCCUUAGUACGAGAGGACCGGGAUGGACACACCGCUGGUGUACCAGUUGUUCCGCCAGGGGCAUAGCUGGGUAGCUACGUGUGGACGGGAUAAGUGCUGAAAGCAUCUAAGCAUGAAGCCCCCCUCAAGAUGAGAUUUCCCAUCACGUUAAGUGAGUAAGACCCCUUAGAGAUGAUGAGGUUGAUAGGUCUGGUGUGGAAGCGUGGUGACACGUGGAGCUGACAGAUACUAAUCGGUCGAGGGCUUAUCCUU
This 3002-nucleotide ribosomal RNA is filed under the name Fictibacillus arsenicus. Its description in RNAcentral is "Bacillus arsenicus Bacterial large subunit ribosomal RNA". It matches the Rfam family "Bacterial large subunit ribosomal RNA". The record is from Rfam by way of RNAcentral. Lineage: Bacteria; Bacillati; Bacillota; Bacilli; Caryophanales; Fictibacillaceae.